RNAcentral lists this ribosomal RNA (459 nucleotides) under uncultured bacterium. RNAcentral's name for it is "partial 16S ribosomal RNA". It matches the Rfam family "Bacterial small subunit ribosomal RNA", at positions 338 to 795 of the family's 1533-position model. The record is from RNAcentral.
CCUACGGGAGGCAGCAGUGAGGAAUAUUGGUCAAUGGCCGCAGGGCUGAACCAGCCAAGUCGCGUGAGGGAUGACGGUCCUAUGGAUUGUAAACCUCUUUUGUCAGGGAGCAAAGGGCGCCACGUGUGGCGCUUUGCGAGUACCUGAAGAAAAAGCAUCGGCUAACUCCGUGCCAGCAGCCGCGGUAAUACGGAGGAUGCGAGCGUUAUCCGGAUUUAUUGGGUUUAAAGGGUGCGCAGGCGGAAUGUCAAGUCAGCGGUAAAAUUUCGGGGCUCAACCCCGUCGUGCCGUUGAAACUGGCAGUCUUGAGUACAGUAGAGGUGGGCGGAAUUCGUGGUGUAGCGGUGAAAUGCUUAGAUAGCACGAAGAACUCCGAUUGCGAAGGCGGAUUGCUGGACAGUAACUGACGCUGAGGCGCGAAAGCGUGGGGAGCAAACAGGAUUAGAUACCCGUGUAGUC